GGGCGGUUAGCUCAGCGGUAGAGCACUGCAUUCACAUUGCAGGGGUCACAAGUUCAAAUCUUGUACCGCCCACAA
RNAcentral lists this transfer RNA (75 nucleotides) under Candidatus Yanofskybacteria bacterium RIFCSPHIGHO2_01_FULL_41_26. Its description in RNAcentral is "tRNA-Val". It matches the Rfam family "tRNA". Rfam says of the family: Transfer RNA (tRNA) molecules are approximately 80 nucleotides in length. Their secondary structure includes four short double-helical elements and three loops (D, anti-codon, and T loops). Lineage: Bacteria; Candidatus Yanofskyibacteriota. The record is from RNAcentral. RNAcentral also lists the same sequence under 1 other name.